This 438-nucleotide ribosomal RNA is filed under the name Capnocytophaga gingivalis. Its description in RNAcentral is "bacterial SSU rRNA". It matches the Rfam family "Bacterial small subunit ribosomal RNA", at positions 28 to 472 of the family's 1533-position model. Lineage: Bacteria; Pseudomonadati; Bacteroidota; Flavobacteriia; Flavobacteriales; Flavobacteriaceae. The record is from RNAcentral.
GAUGAACGCUAGCGGCAGGCCUAACACAUGCAAGUCGAGGGAGAAGCCCUUCGGGGCAGAAACCGGCGCACGGGUGCGUAACGCGUAUGCAACCUACCUUUCACAGGGGGAUAGCCCGAAGAAAUUUGGAUUAAUACCCCAUAAUAUUGCGAGAUGGCAUCAUUUUGCAAUUAAAACUAUGGUGGUGAAAGAUGGGCAUGCGUCCUAUUAGCUAGUUGGAGUGGUAACGGCACCCCAAGGCUACGAUAGGUAGGGGUCCUGAGAGGGAGAUCCCCCACACUGGUACUGAGACAGGGACCAGACUCCUACGGGAGGCAGCAGUGAGGAAUAUUGGUCAAUGGUCGGAAGACUGAACCAGCCAUGCCGCGUGCAGGAAGAAUGCCUUAUGGGUUGUAAACUGCUUUUAUAUGGGAAGAAUAAGGUGUACGAGUACAUUGA